AACGCUGGCGGCGUGCUUAACACAUGCAAGUUCGAACGGUGAAAGAGGACCAGCUCGCUGGUUUCUUGGGAUUGAGCGGCGAACGGGUUGAGUAACACGUGAGUAACCUGCCCCCUUCUUCUGGAUAACCGCAUGAAAGUGUGGCUAAUACGGGAUAUUCUGGGUCUGUCGCAUGACGGGCCCGGGAAAGAUAUUGCUUCGGUGGGGGAUGGGCUCGCGGCCUAUCAGCUUGUUGGUGGGGUGAUGGCCUACCAAGGCGGUGACGGGUAGCCGGCCUGAGAGGGUGGACGGUCACACUGGGACUGAGACACGGCCCAGACUCCUACGGGAGGCAGCAGUGGGGAAUAUUGCACAAUGGGCGCAAGCCUGAUGCAGCGACGCCGCGUGAGGGAUGGAGGCCUUCGGGUUGUAAACCUCUUUCGCCAGUGAAGCAGGCCUGCUCCUUGUUGGGUGGGUUGACGGUAGCUGGAUAAGAAGCGCCGGCUAACUACGUGCCAGCAGCCGCGGUAAUACGUAGGGCGCGAGCGUUGUCCGGAAUUAUUGGGCGUAAAGAGCUCGUAGGCGGCUGGUCGCGUCUGUCGUGAAAUCCUCUGGCUUAACUGGGGGCUUGCGGUGGGUACGGGCCGGCUUGAGUGCGGUAGGGGAGACUGGAACUCCUGGUGUAGCGGUGGAAUGCGCAGAUAUCAGGAAGAACACCGGUGGCGAAGGCGGGUCUCUGGGCCGUUACUGACGCUGAGGAGCGAAAGCGUGGGGAGCGAACAGGAUUAGAUACCCUGGUAGUCCACGCCGUAAACGUUGGGCACUAGGUGUGGGGGGCCUUUUCCGGGUCUUCCGCGCCGUAGCUAACGCAUUAAGUGCCCCGCCUGGGGAGUACGGCCGCAAGGCUAAAACUCAAAGGAAUUGACGGGGGCCCGCACAAGCGGCGGAGCAUGCGGAUUAAUUCGAUGCAACGCGAAGAACCUUACCAAGGCUUGACAUGUGCCGGUCGGCUCCGGAGACGGGGCUUCCUCCUUGUGGGGCCGGUUCACAGGUGGUGCAUGGUUGUCGUCAGCUCGUGUCGUGAGAUGUUGGGUUAAGUCCCGCAACGAGCGCAACCCUUGUCCCGUGUUGCCAGCACGUUGUGGUGGGGACUCGCGGGAGACUGCCGGGGUCAACUCGGAGGAAGGUGGGGAUGACGUCAAAUCAUCAUGCCCCUUAUGUCUUGGGCUUCACGCAUGCUACAAUGGCCGGUACAGAGGGCUGCGAUACCGUGAGGUGGAGCGAAUCCCUUAAAGCCGGUCUCAGUUCGGAUCGGUGUCUGCAACUCGACACCGUGAAGUUGGAGUCGCUAGUAAUCGCAGAUCAGCAACGCUGCGGUGAAUACGUUCUCGGGCCUUGUACACACCGCCCGUC
This 1392-nucleotide ribosomal RNA is filed under the name uncultured bacterium. RNAcentral's name for it is "bacterial SSU rRNA". It matches the Rfam family "Bacterial small subunit ribosomal RNA", at positions 32 to 1398 of the family's 1533-position model. The record is from RNAcentral.